GGAAUAUUGGGCAAUGGAGGAAACUCUGACCCAGCAACGCCGCGUGGAGGAUGAAGGUCUUCGGAUUGUAAACUUCUGUUCUUGGGGAAGAAACAAAUGACUGUACCCAAGGAGCAAGCCCCGGCUAACUACGUGCCAGCAGCCGCGGUGAUACGUAGGGGGCAAGCGUUGUUCGGAAUGACUGGGCGUAAAGGGUGUGUAGGCGGUUUAUUAAGUUGAAUGUGAAAGCCCGGGGCUCAACCCCGGAACUGCAUUCAAAACUGGUAGACUUGAGUGUGGGAGAGGCAAGUGGAAUUCCUAGUGUAGCGGUGGAAUGCGUAGAUAUUAGGAGGAACAUCAGAGGCGAAGGCGACUUGCUGGAACAUAACUGACGCUGAGGCACGAAAGCGUGGGGAGCAAACA
RNAcentral lists this ribosomal RNA (402 nucleotides) under uncultured bacterium. RNAcentral describes it as "bacterial SSU rRNA". It matches the Rfam family "Bacterial small subunit ribosomal RNA", at positions 358 to 774 of the family's 1533-position model. The record is from RNAcentral.